This 432-nucleotide ribosomal RNA is filed under the name uncultured bacterium. RNAcentral's name for it is "partial 16S ribosomal RNA". It matches the Rfam family "Bacterial small subunit ribosomal RNA", at positions 29 to 506 of the family's 1533-position model. The record is from RNAcentral.
AACGAACGCUGGCGGCAUGCCUAACACAUGCAAGUCGAACGAGACCUUCGGGUCUAGUGGCGCACGGGUGCGUAACGCGUGGGAACCUGCCCUUAGGUUUGGAAUAACUCCCCGAAAGGGGUGCUAAUACCGGAUAAUGUCUUCGGACCAAAGAUUUAUCGCCUUUGGAUGGGCCCGCGUUGGAUUAGCUAGUUGGUAGGGUAAAAGCCUACCAAGGCGACGAUCCAUAGCUGGUCUGAGAGGAUGAUCAGCCACACUGGGACUGAGACACGGCCCAGACUCCUACGGGAGGCAGCAGUGGGGAAUAUUGGACAAUGGGCGAAAGCCUGAUCCAGCAAUGCCGCGUGAGUGAUGAAGGCCUUAGGGUUGUAAAGCUCUUUUACCCGGGAUGAUAAUGACAGUACCGGGAGAAUAAGCUCCGGCUAACUCCGU